AAAGCGUGGGGAGCAAACAGGAUUAGAUACCCUGGUAGUCCACGCUGUAAACGAUGAUGAUUAGCUGAUAGAGAGGUCUAUCGGCGCAGCUAACGCAUUAAAUCAUCCGCCUGAGUAGUAUGCUCGCAAGAGUGAAACUUAAAGGAAUUGACGGGGAUCCGCACAAGCGGUGGAGCAUGUGGUUUAAUUUGAAGAUACGCGUAGAACCUUACCCACUCUUGACAUCUUCUGCAAAGCUAUAGAGAUAUAGCAGAGGUUAACAGAAUGACAGAUGGUGCA
Molecule: ribosomal RNA, 279 nt
Filed under: Mycoplasmopsis bovirhinis
Lineage: Bacteria; Bacillati; Mycoplasmatota; Mycoplasmoidales; Metamycoplasmataceae
Description: Mycoplasma bovirhinis partial 16S ribosomal RNA
Rfam family: Bacterial small subunit ribosomal RNA
Source: RNAcentral